GAUGAACGCUAGCGGCAGGCCUAAUACAUGCAAGUCGAACGGGAUCCAGAUCAAAGCUUGCUUUGGUUUGGUGAGAGUGGCGCACGGGUGCGUAACGCGUGAGCAACCUACCCUUGUUAGGGGGAUAGCCCGGCGAAAGUCGGAUUAAUACCGCAUGACAUCAUUGAGAGGCAUCUUUCGAUGAUCAAAGAUUUAUCGGACAAGGAUGGGCUCGCGUGACAUUAGCUAGUUGGUAAGGUAACGGCUUACCAAGGCUACGAUGUCUAGGGGCUCUGAGAGGAGAAUCCCCCACACUGGUACUGAGACACGGACCAGACUCCUACGGGAGGCAGCAGUAAGGAAUAUUGGUCAAUGGACGGAAGUCUGAACCAGCCAUGCCGCGUGCAGGAAGACGGCCCUAUGGGUUGUAAACUGCUUUUAUACGGGAACAAACGUCGGUACGGGUACCGGUCUGAGUGUACCGUAAGAAUAAGGAUCGGCUAACUCCGUG
This 490-nucleotide ribosomal RNA is filed under the name uncultured bacterium. RNAcentral's name for it is "partial 16S ribosomal RNA". It matches the Rfam family "Bacterial small subunit ribosomal RNA", at positions 28 to 507 of the family's 1533-position model. The record is from RNAcentral.